UACGAAGGGGGGCUAGCGUUGUUCGGAUUUACUGGGCGUAAAGCGCACGUAGGCGGAUCGUUAAGUCGGGGGGUGAAAUCCUGGAGCUCAACUCCAGAACUGCCUUCGAUACUGGCGAUCUUGAGUCCGGAAGAGGUGAGUGGAACUCCUAGUGUAGAGGUGGAAUUCGUAGAUAUUAGGAAGAACACCAGUGGCGAAGGCGGCUCACUGGUCCGGUACUGACGCUGAGGUGCGGAAAGCGUGGGGAGCAAACAGGGAUUAAGAAACC
This 268-nucleotide ribosomal RNA is filed under the name uncultured bacterium. RNAcentral's name for it is "partial 16S ribosomal RNA". It matches the Rfam family "Bacterial small subunit ribosomal RNA", at positions 524 to 787 of the family's 1533-position model. The record is from RNAcentral.